Long non-coding RNA from Melozone crissalis (California towhee), 2529 nucleotides. RefSeq lists it as uncharacterized. NCBI's taxonomy places the organism in Eukaryota, Metazoa, Chordata, Aves, Passeriformes, Passerellidae. The record is from RefSeq and is a predicted model, not a curated record. The transcript is spliced from 3 exons.
CCUAAGCCUGAUCUGCAAAAUACAAACAUAUUGGAGACAUCAUUUUAGUUUGAUUACUGACCCCUUUCUGCUCUGUGCAGCCACAGCUCCUGCUUCCCAAACUAGCUCCAGGCAUGCCCUACCUGUAGGAAUUACCUGCACAUCCAGCUGGAGCUCAACCACUUCCAAGCUGGGAGCACUGACAUGGUAAGACAGGGCUGACAUUUUAAAUGGGGAAGAAAAGUGGGUCUUGAAGAGAGGGAUGGUGCCCUUCAUGUUGCCUGACACAGAUUAGUCACACACUCCAGAGGGAGGGGAAAGAUCCCUUUGGGAAAGUCAAGACCAGGUGAGGGUCUUCAAAUUUAUAUACAAGGGGGAAAUCCUGACUGGUAUCAGGGCUUCCUGCAUUCACAAAGAAAGGCCUAGAUUCUCUCCUGACAUUUCUGGCAGCAUAAGCCAACAGACUGGUCAGCAACCAGAACAAAAGGCACAAAUAGCACAAGCAUCAAGUCAAAAGGAGCUCUCAGUAUUCACUCACACUGAAUAUUCCUACCUGUUUUCAGGCUACAGGAUGCAAGGGACCACAGAAAGAUCUAAAACCUGGCCUAAGGAACAACAAAAUUGAGAGAACAACUAGAGGAGCCCAGGACCACUACCUACUUUGGAAGGUUGCUGGAAACAGGGGAACUCCAUUUGUACAAUAUAGGCAAGAAAAGGGAGUCUGUCAGCACCCACUCAUAGUUAACUCAAAUUGUCUUCUGAGGGGACCCACCCUACCACGCUGAAUCCCUAACAGAUGAAGAACAAUGGCAGUUACUCUGCAGAGAUGCCAAUGUUUCCAAAAUUCAACUCCUUUCUAUCAGGAUGAGCAAGAAGUCUCCUGCAUGCUAAUAUCCUGCCAAGGCUGUGAUUCCCCCAUGGUUCUUGCAGGAAAGUACACAGCUCACAAGCACUAUGGUACAGAGAGAGACUUCUUCAGAGCCUAUGUGCCCAGAUCAUGGAGAUUUUUUAAUAAGGAUCAACAUCUGUGAAAGUGGAGCACAAGUUGAACAGACAGAGUGGUCCAUUUGUCUGAAGAAGACAGAAGUAACCAAGUGUUUAUGAUGCUGCACUUUUAGCAGCACUGAACUAAUACUUGAACACUGGACCCUUUUCUGUGACAAAGUACUGACAGCAGAACUACUUCUGUGAGACAUUAUUUAUGUAACUCUUGAAAGAAGUAUAAAUCUAUUUCUCCCUUUAUUAGUGCCCUACCAGCUCCCAUCCUUAAAGGGAAAAGGGGCAGGACUGUGAAAAUACAACUAAUCAGAGUUAAUUUAGGGUUUAAUUUCACAGUCCCAUCACUCUAAAGGAUAAAAGAAAGGGUAAAGCUAAAGAUCCUUUACAUGCACUCUGAGGCUACUCAAUCCCACAUCCCACAUACCACUAGGAAAAGAGACAAACAGCAUGACCUAAAGCAGAACAUAAAGAAAUGAAACCUCCUAUGCGCAUACAAAAGUUAUACAUUGUAGCUGGACAAGUCCUUGUAUCCAAACAACAGAGAUAUCCAAGGACUUCAGUGUGGGGUCAGGGCUCCUCAUGGCGUCCAAGGAUAACGUGCAAAAAGCAGCCAAGGAAAAGACUCUUCCAUAACUCUUUAUGCUCAGAGCAGUCCUUGAGAUCAAUGGCAAUGGCCCCAAAAGGAAAAUACAGAAAAAGGAAUAUGGAUUUCCUCAGAGGAAAGCUCUAGUUCCUGGCAAUCCCCUGAAGUAACAGCUCCCAGCCUGUCACUUGGCUUUCUGUGGAUGCUUACAUGUUGAAUGAUGGCUCCACUGGCUCUUGGACUGGCUACCCUGUCAGCAGGGCAGUAAUAAUAUCAGCAGCAGAGGCCUGCGGAGCUGCUGAACCAACCCAACUGCUCAGCACUGAAAGAGGAACAGGUAUCUAGUUUGCCCCUUGUCUAAGACAAUCCUACCUGGUGAGGGCUUGGAUCUAACUCCAUAAGCUCUCCCAUGCAGAAUUGCUGUAGAUGGACUCAGUGCCAGAACGUGAUGUUCCAAAAGCAAGAAAUGAUCACGACUGAAACUCAGUUGAGUCAGAUUAUUGCAGCAUCUUCCGUCUCAUGAACUACUUGCACACAGAAAUGUUAAGUUUCCUUCUGUACAAAUAGAUUUCUGUGCCUGUUCAAGCUUGCAAGGCUCCAGGACCCAGGCUCCAAGUCAGCCAGGCAAAAUCACAGAGGAAGCACUAGAAGUUCAGCAAGUCCCUUCCACCUCACCUGCACAUUCAGCAAAGGUGAAUAGAAGGUUGAGAGGAAGUGCAUGAGGGAUGUUCACCAAAACAAUCUCAAUCAGCAAAGCUAUGCAUAUCUAACAGACUGCCCUGCUUGUUACUAUUCCACAGGCUGAUCUAGGAGUCUUGGCACCAGUGGAAUAUCAGCACUGUGACAGACAUCCUCACUCUGCAGCACAACUAGCUAAUUGUGCAAGGGGUCUGGCACACUGCAACUCAGCAGGGUCAGAGUGAACCAGAGGGAUGAUACCAACUGACAUUAACCUUGCUACUUGAAGG